RNAcentral lists this transfer RNA (89 nucleotides) under Oscillospiraceae bacterium. RNAcentral's name for it is "tRNA-Ser". It matches the Rfam family "tRNA". Rfam says of the family: Transfer RNA (tRNA) molecules are approximately 80 nucleotides in length. Their secondary structure includes four short double-helical elements and three loops (D, anti-codon, and T loops). The record is from RNAcentral. Lineage: Bacteria; Bacillati; Bacillota; Clostridia; Eubacteriales; Oscillospiraceae.
GGAGGGGUAUCGAAGUGGUCAUAACGAGGCGGUCUUGAAAACCGUUUGGGUGCAAGCCCACAAGGGUUCGAAUCCCUUCCCCUCCGCCA